Molecule: long non-coding RNA, 866 nt
Filed under: Zonotrichia albicollis (white-throated sparrow)
Lineage: Eukaryota; Metazoa; Chordata; Aves; Passeriformes; Passerellidae
Description: lncRNA (ENSZALG00000001162.1)
Source: RNAcentral
AUCACAAGCGUUUCACUGCCUCAGACUGAGGACACCUCUUCCCCUUCUCCCUUCCUCGCAUGCAGCACCCUUUGCUGGAGAGGGAGCAGUUUAAUUAAGCCGUGAUUAACGCCUCACACACGCCUGGCUGUCACUGAUGGAGCUCUGGGAAUGGCACCGCUGUGAGCUGAGCACCGUGCUGGAGCAGGGAAUGUCCCCUCCGGGUGUCUCAGCUGCUCCCCAGCAGUGCCAGCACAUCUGGCCAGCUGUGUGCGCCCGGAGGGUGCCCUGGCACAGCUGAGCUGCUCCCCAGCUCCAGCCAGGUUUAUUGAAAAUAAACUGAAUUUCUGCUGGCUGUGUGGUGCCAUCUUCAAGACUCCAGGGGGUCUCUACAUCUGGAAUUUUCCUUUGCUGUGGGCAAGAUGUGUUCUCGUCACUCACUGGGUUGAAAACCAGUAACAACCUGAAGGUAACGGCCCUUCCCAAGUCGUGGAAGUCAAGGCAACCAUCAGCUUUGCCUUCCCCAAAAAAGCUGCUCUCAUCAGGAAGCACAGUGCUCUUGUGGGAUUCUCCUGAUGCUGGGGCAGGGAACAACCCACAAACGUCACCGUCAUAUUUUCUGAAAAAUCCUCUUUGCCCAGGAUUUUCUCCUGGGAAGAUGAGAAGCCUCAGCUGCUCCUGUGUUUGUGGUCUGGAGAUUGUUUAUUCAACAUGUGAAUUGUUUUAACUUAAUGGCCAAUCACAGCCAGCUGUUUUGUCACGAAGUUUUAUUAUUCAUUCUUGUUAAGCCUUCUGAUGUAUCCUUUCUCUUUCUUUAGUAUAGUUUUAGUAUAGCAUUCUUUAAUAUAAUACUAUAUCAUAAAAUAAUAAAUCAGCCUCUGGGAACA